GUGGGGAAUCUUGCGCAAUGGGCGAAAGCCUGACGCAGCGACGCCGCGUGCGGGAAGAAGGCCUUCGGGUUGUAAACCGCUUUCAGGAGGGACGAAGCCACUCGGGUUAAUAGCCCAGAGGGUGACGGUACCUCCAGAAGAAGCCCCGGCUAACUACGUGCCAGCAGCCGCGGUAAUACGUAGGGGGCAAGCGUUGUCCGGAUUUAUUGGGCGUAAAGAGCGUGUAGGCGGCCUGGAAGGUCUGCUGUGAAAACUCGAGGCUCAACCUCGAGACGCCGGCAGAAACCCUCAGGCUAGAGUCCGGAAGAGGAGAGUGGAAUUCCUGGUGUAGCGGUGAAAUGCGCAGAUAUCAGGAAGAACACCCGUGGCGAAGGCGGCUCUCUGGGACGGUACUGACGCUGAGACGCGAAAGCGUGGGGAGCGAACAGGAUUAGAAACCCUUGUAGUCC
Molecule: ribosomal RNA, 449 nt
Filed under: uncultured bacterium
Lineage: Bacteria
Description: bacterial SSU rRNA
Rfam family: Bacterial small subunit ribosomal RNA
Source: RNAcentral